CUUGUUCAACGCAAUGUUUUCGAGUUCUUAGCCCAUUUGGGACCCAAUUUCAACAAGUCUUUCUCUAUACUUCAGAACACUCUUCACGCAUCUCUAGCACUUGUAAUCAAUCAAAUUCAUUGUAUUCUAACAUAUUCUAACCCCAAACAACACUAGAUAAUUCAUUUACUUGUUCAACGCAAUGUUUCCGAGUUCUUAACCCAUUUGGGACCCAAUUUN
RNAcentral lists this long non-coding RNA (219 nucleotides) under Capsella rubella. Its description in RNAcentral is "long non-coding RNA (CRUB_LNC000077)". The record is from RNAcentral. Lineage: Eukaryota; Viridiplantae; Streptophyta; Magnoliopsida; Brassicales; Brassicaceae.